GACUUGGGCAAUUGAGUGGCACAGCCCCCUCCUGUCAUCCUGGCAGGGUGACAUGCAUCACUUGAAGAAGGGAAGGGAAACAACUUUCAAGCAUCUUCAUUUCACCUCGUGAACCAAGCCCCAUGAUCUGGACUCAUGUAAAGAGACCUUCUGACAUCAUCACAACUCUUUCUGAGAGGAGGAAUCAACAUCAAGGAAGCUAAAACUGAAUGUACUUUCUGGUAGCACUAGUAAUACUGACAUCUCAGGAAGAGAAACAGUCAAGUGUUAGAUACCUAUCAUUGAACCAACACUGUAAACCAAAUGGCUAAUUGGGCAAAGAGAAGAUCUGAAUCCUCUAUUGAAAUUGAAUGACUUAAAAUACCUGCUUCUGGGUUAGGGCACUUGAGCCUGAAGCUAAAGAGUGAACAGUGAGUUCUGGUGUUCUCUGAGGUUUGGUCCUGGCAAUGCUGAUGCCUUGAUGUGUGUUUUCUUCUCUUCACUAUGCAGAGAUUAGAGAUGAGUGAGGAAACAGGACUGAACAUGCUGCAUGCAGUUGGUGAACAGUUAUGCUGACCAUACUGUGUCAUAAUGCUAAUACAAAAUGUUUCUGUUCUAAUAAUGUGCUCUUAUGACUGGUAAACAUAAGCUUCUUCAGUCUCGGACCACAGCUGAUAGAGUCCUGAAGGGAAAAGCCUUGGGGGAUGUCGUCUUACUACAUUCCAGAGCAGCAGUAGCGUAUUUACCUUUGCCUUGUGCUUAGGGCCUGUAUUGGGUUUAUAUGCCCAGAGUUUGGCAGCAGGGGUUCUGCAGGAAUGGCCUUUGUGAACAGAACCUGGAAACUACCCCAUGUCAAAUAAAAGCUGAUUCUAGCUGGUUCCAAAAGGGAUCCAAUCCACUGUUGGCCAGAGCUCAGCUGUGAGUAGCACUGGUUUUGUGUCUGUGACCACUAACCUACUUUAUUGUUAAUUGGCAAUAAAUUACAUUAAUCUUUUCAAAAUGGAGUCUGUUUUGCUUAUGAGAAUUAUGGGUGAGUGAUAUCCCCUGUCCUUAUCUUGAACUAUGAGCUUUUUCAUCUUUUCUCCUGUUGUCCUACUGAAGUGGAGAAGAAAGCAGCUUGGUGGGCUCUAUGCACAUAGUCAAAUUUAAUCCCCCACAUGGCUUUUAUACAACACUGUGCAAAAAUGGCCUGAGAUUUUAAAGGAUCUCCAUGGUAUUGCUUGUUGUUGGAAGGUAUUUGUAUAUAGCCUAAAUGGAGGUUGAGUUCAAGCUGCCUGUAAUGAAAAGAAUUACAUCCCCUCUAAAACUUGUGCGUUACGUGUGUUCAAACAAUCAACGCUGUCUAUAACAUUUGGAUAUUUGUCUUCCUUAAGCUUCUUUUUGUAAGCAUUUUUAUCUUUCAGAUUAGGCAUUGUGUCAUUUUCUCAAUAUCAAAACAAAAAUAUUAUUUUAUUUGUUCUUCAUUCACCUUUUCUGCCUGGUUUGUAAACUCUUUCAGAUUUGUGUCUCCUAAUGUGGAUGUACAGCAUGUCGCACAAGAUUUAUUAAUGCCAAAAUAAAUGUUUGGUUUUUUCUUAGCAACUUUUCAUUUAAAGGUCUCUAUCCCUGGGGCUCAUCUGCUUUAGAACCUGCAACAGGAAAAGAGCCAAGUAUUUGGUAAUUAUCAGUGAUUUAUGAAACCCACAUUUUUUCCAGGGAAGUAUUUCAGAAUACUCCUAGUCUAUUUUGUUCCCUCUCCUGUUUUCUCUUUUCCAUUAUCUUCCUGUUGAUGUGCGCUUCUCUCAAAGGAAG
Molecule: long non-coding RNA, 1770 nt
Organism: Tympanuchus pallidicinctus (lesser prairie-chicken)
Lineage: Eukaryota; Metazoa; Chordata; Aves; Galliformes; Phasianidae
Exons: 6
Source: RefSeq, a predicted model, not a curated record